Molecule: ribosomal RNA, 253 nt
Filed under: uncultured bacterium
Lineage: Bacteria
Description: partial 16S ribosomal RNA
Rfam family: Bacterial small subunit ribosomal RNA
Source: RNAcentral
UACGAGGGGGGCUAGCGUUGUUCGGAAUUACUGGGCGUAAAGGGCGCGUAGGCGGCCAUUCAAGUUAGGUGUGAAAGCCCGGAGCUCAACUCCGGAAUUGCCAUUGAAACUGUUUGGCUCGAGUACGAGAGAGGUGAGUGGAAUUCCCAGUGUAGAGGUGAAAUUCGUAGAUAUUGGGAAGAACACCGGUGGCGAAGGCGGCUCACUGGCUCGUAACUGACGCUCAUGCACGACAGCGUGGGGAUCAAACAGG